AAGACGCAUGGGUUGGGCAGGACCAUCUGCUGUUGUCACCAGCAUGACGGUUCUGUUGUUCUGCGCUGCGCCGUCUACC
This 79-nucleotide transfer RNA is filed under the name Pseudovibrio sp. Ad37. Its description in RNAcentral is "tRNA-Asp". Lineage: Bacteria; Pseudomonadati; Pseudomonadota; Alphaproteobacteria; Hyphomicrobiales; Stappiaceae. The record is from RNAcentral. RNAcentral also lists the same sequence under 1 other name.